RNAcentral lists this ribosomal RNA (698 nucleotides) under uncultured Bacteroidales bacterium. RNAcentral describes it as "bacterial SSU rRNA". It matches the Rfam family "Bacterial small subunit ribosomal RNA", at positions 65 to 751 of the family's 1533-position model. Lineage: Bacteria; Pseudomonadati; Bacteroidota; Bacteroidia; Bacteroidales. The record is from RNAcentral.
AGGGGCAUCAGUUUGGUUUGCCUGCAAACCAAAGCUGGCGACCGGCGCACGGGUGAGUAACACGUAUCCAACCUGCCUCAUACUCGGGGAUAGCCUUUCGAAAGAAAGAUUAAUAUCCGAUAGCAUAUAUUUCCCGCAUGGGUUUUAUAUUAAAGAAAUUCGGUAUGAGAUGGGGAUGCGUUCCAUUAGUUUGUUGGCGGGGUAACGGCCCACCAAGACUACGAUGGAUAGGGGUUCUGAGAGGAAGGUCCCCCACAUUGGAACUGAGACACGGUCCAAACUCCUACGGGAGGCAGCAGUGAGGAAUAUUGGUCAAUGGACGCGAGUCUGAACCAGCCAAGUAGCGUGAAGGAUGACUGCCCUAUGGGUUGUAAACUUCUUUUAUAUGGGAAUAAAGUGGUCCACGUGUGGAUUUUUGUAUGUACCAUAUGAAUAAGGAUCGGCUAACUCCGUGCCAGCAGCCGCGGUAAUACGGAGGAUCCGAGCGUUAUCCGGAUUUAUUGGGUUUAAAGGGAGCGUAGGCGGAUUGUUAAGUCAGUUGUGAAAGUUUGCGGCUCAACCGUAAAAUUGCAGUUGAUACUGGCAGUCUUGAGUGCAGUAGAGGUGGGCGGAAUUCGUGGUGUAGCGGUGAAAUGCUUAGAUAUCACGAAGAACUCCGAUUGCGAAGGCAGCUCACUGGAGUGUAACUGACGCUGAUG